This 227-nucleotide ribosomal RNA is filed under the name uncultured bacterium. Its description in RNAcentral is "partial 16S ribosomal RNA". It matches the Rfam family "Bacterial small subunit ribosomal RNA", at positions 107 to 334 of the family's 1533-position model. The record is from RNAcentral.
UGAGUAACACGUAUCCAACCUGCCGUCUACUCUUGGACAGCCUUCUGAAAGGAAGAUUAAUACAAGAUGGCAUCAUGAGUCCACAUGUUCACAUGAUUAAGGGUAUUCCGGUAGACGAUGGGGAUGCGUUCCAUUAGAUAGUAGGCGGGGUAACGGCCCACCUAGUCUUCGAUGGAUAGGGGUUCUGAGAGGAAGGUCCCCCACAUUGGAACUGAGACACGGUCCAA